RNAcentral lists this ribosomal RNA (253 nucleotides) under uncultured bacterium. RNAcentral describes it as "partial 16S ribosomal RNA". It matches the Rfam family "Bacterial small subunit ribosomal RNA", at positions 524 to 776 of the family's 1533-position model. The record is from RNAcentral.
GACGUAGGGGGCGAGCGUUGUCCGGAUUUAUUGGGCGUAAAGCGUGCGUAGGCGGCUGCGCAAGUCGGUUGUGAAACCCCGGGGCUCAACCCCGGAACUGCAUCCGAUACUGCGUGGCUAGAGGUAGGUAGGGGAGAUCGGAAUUCCUGGUGUAGCGGUGAAAUGCGCAGAUAUCAGGAGGAACACCAGUAGCGAAGGCGGCACUCUGGGCCGGUACUGACGCUGAGGAGCGAAAGCGUGGGGAGCAAACAGG